Mya arenaria is the source of this 5136-nucleotide long non-coding RNA. RefSeq lists it as uncharacterized. The record is from RefSeq and is a predicted model, not a curated record. NCBI's taxonomy places the organism in Eukaryota, Metazoa, Mollusca, Bivalvia, Myida, Myidae. The transcript has 3 exons.
CCUUAUUUAUGUCUUUGCGGCAGAGUGGUUUAUAAAGAAUAUCUUAUUUACGGGUAUAGCAUUUAAGAAAAAAAGUUUCAACAGUUUUGUUUUUAAAGGGAAAAGACAGUGUUCAAGGAUGGAUAGCAUGUACAAACUGAGCAUAGUAUUCAUCUUAUACAUUCAAAGUUACAUUGGACAAUCCCAAGUCGAGCUGUCUACCAACGGCAAUUUAACGGUGGAGCUUUGUAAGAGCACGGUGAUAUGGUGCGCCUUCAAUGUCUCGGAUGAUAAUUUAAUACAAGGAGUGUCAUUGAACCUGACCAAAGAUGGCAUGACCAAAGUUCGUUUUCAUCCGUUAACCGUAACAACACCUUCAAGCGUAGAUCAAUCAAUUUCUGAAAGGGUUAAAGCUGAAAGAUUUACGGUGGACAAUAAAAACGCAACGGUGACUUUAUACUCCAUCGAAUCCAGUGAUAGUGGCACUUAUACCUGGACAGCGUCUUACUACAGUGGUGAAAAUAGAGACACCUACCAGAACGCAACAGCGAUCCAGACACUGACCUUUUCAGAUGCAGGUUGCCCGACAGCUUCUUACAAAGUGGAACUCGUUGUUGGAAUGCUUGUUGUUGCAUUCAUUUAUUUACAAUGACAUGAUCUAAAGUGAAGGAAUAUUCGUAUUCUUCUUCUUUCCUGACUGAUGAAAUAUGAAUUCUGUUAUUGGACAAAGUAGUGAUGACAAAAACAUAUUCUUUUUUUAUAAUACAUUUGUUUUGUUUCUGUAACGAGGACAAAUGCGUGCUGAAAUAUAUUCUUCUUCUUAACAACAACUUUGUUUUAUUGUUUUAUUCAAAAGCGAAUCUUUACUUAACUGAAAGAUUUUUAUGACUUGACACAAUUGUCUUAUGUUGAGCAAGGGGCAAAGCAGUCUCGGAUACCUUCUUAUUAUGUAUAUUAUUUAUUAUAUAAAUAACCUGAUUUUUGUAAGUGAGAAAGUAAGAGGUUGUGAAAGUGGGUACAAACCGUUUGUGAUAAUGGGAUAAAAAACAUGGCCAUAUUCUGACAAAAUACCAUGAAAUUGUACGCUCUGUGGACAAGACGUCUUAUAGAUACACAAACAUCUCAAUUGGACAUAAUACGAUGCCAAUUUGUUGGGCAUAAUAACAUGUCAAUAAGACACGUUCACGUUGGACAUUAUUAAAAGUCAGUUUGACAUAAUAACAUGUCACUAAAGUGUGAUAGAAUGCUAGUUAGACAUAGUAACUUGUCGGUCUAACAUAAUAACAUGUCUGUUAGACAUAGCCAUAGUAUGUCCCAUCUGCUAACACUAGAGAGUCUACCACAUCUGAUUACACUAGAAAAUUUACCGCAUCCGCUAACACUAAAGAGUCUAUCAUACUUGCUAACACUAGAUAAUCUACCACAUAUGUUAAGACUAGAAAGUCUACUACAUCUCUGCUAACACUAGAGAGUCUGCCACAUAUGCUAACAGUAGAGAGUAUACAACACCUGCUUAAACUAGAAAGUGUGUUUAUCAUGUCUGCUUAAACUAAAUACUCCACCACAAUGUUAACACUAACAAGUCUUCUAAAUCUGUGCUAAAACUAGAAAGUCUGACAUAUCUGCAAACAUUAAAGUCUACAUCGCCUUGUUAUACAAAAGAGUUAACCACAUCUGCUUAUACUAGAAUGUUUACAACGUCUGUUAACACUAGCGAAUCAACCAUCUAUCUGCUAACACAAUAGAGUCUACCACAUAUGUUAACACUUUAGAGUCUACCACAUCUGUAAACACUUGAGAGUCUACCACAUCUGUGCUAACACUAGAGAGUUUACCACUUUGAGUCUAACAAUAGAGAGUCUAAAACAUCUGUAUUAACACUAGAGAGUCAACCACAUUGGCUUACUCUUGAGAGUCUGCCAAAUAUGUGUUAACACUAGAGAGUCUGUCACAUUUGUGCUAACAGUAGACAAUUUCCAAAUCUCUGCUAACAUUUAAGAGUCUACCAUAUAUGUGCUAACACUAGAAAGUCAACCACAUGUGUGCAAAAACUAGCGAGUCAACAACAUCUGUUAACACUAGAGUAUCUACCACAUCAGUCAUUACUAGAGAGUCAACUACAUCUGCUAAUACUAGAGAGCCAAUCACAUCUUUACUAACACAAGUGAGUCUUCCACAUAUGUGCUCUCACUAGAAAGUCUAUCACAUCUCUGCUUUCACUUAAGAGUCUACCACAUAUGUGCUAACACUAGGGAAUCUACCACAUCUGUUCUAAGGGAAUAUAACACAUCUCAUAACAUUUAAGUGUCUACCACGUCCGUGCUAACACUAGAGAGUCUUCCAUAUAUGCACUAACACUAGAAAUUUUAUCACAUCUCUGCUUACACUUAAGAGUCUACCGCAUCUCUGCUUACACUUAAGAGUCUACCACAUAUGUGCAAACACUAGAGAGUCAACCGCAUCUGUGCUUACACAAGGGAAUCUAUAACAUCUGCUAACACAAGGGAUUAUACCACAUCUCAUAUUAUUAAAGAAUCUACCACAUCUAUGCUAACACUAGAAAGGUUAUCACAUCUUGUUUACACUUAGUUUUCCACAUCUCUGCUUACACUUAAGAGUCUAUCACAUCUGUGCUAACACUAGAGAGUCAACCACAUCCGCUUACACUAGAGAGUCUGUCAUAUCUGUGCUAACACUAGAGAGUCCACAACAUCUGCUUACACUAGAGAGUCUACCACAUCUGCCUACACUAGAGAGUCCACCAAAUCUGGGCUAACAUUAGAGAGUAUUCUAGAUCUGCACAUAGCUAUAUAGCUUUUCCGUAAAAGUUUGCUAGACUUGUGAAUUAAAAGGCACCUUAUGUAAGAAUUGACAGAUUAAUUGCCAACUAAAUAAAGACUCUAUUUACUUUUCGGUAAAACAUUUCACUCAUAACUAGACAAUAUUGAGUAGUCGUUCAAUACGGGAUUUAUUAAACGAGUCUUUUUUAAAUUGAUAAAACCAAGCUUUGGCGAAGUUUUAUCAGUUCUAAUAAUUCUGUCCAAUAAAUUUCGUAUUGAUGAGCAUGAAAAUGAUAUUCUAUCAUAGAUACGUUGUAUUUUUUUCAUUUACAGUCGAAACUCGUUAUGUCGACUUUUUCGGGAUCUAGUGAAAAAAGUCGGGAUAACGAAAAGUCAACUCAUCCGAAUUACAAAAAAUAUCACCAAUCCCAACACGUUUGAGUUAGAUUGAUUUCCGAUGUUUACAUCCACAAUUGAACGGUAUUGUUACAUAUUUCCGUCGUGAAAACAGCAAACUUAUUAUUGAAAAAUAAAGUGAAACAAAGAAGAAUUAUUUGUGUCGAAUUUAUUUCUUUUACGUUUAUGGAUCACACAAAACACAUAUAAAACCACAAUGGCAUACACUUGUACAUUGUAAGAAAACGGUAUAGCACAUAUGACAACAACUUUUAUAAAAUAGCACAUUCGUGUUUCGUUUAUACACAGCAAUAUAGCACAUUCUCAAAAUCAUUUUAUACCGGGUCUUUUUCUGAAUUGGUCGACCAGAGCAGUGGAACUAACAUUUGACAUUUUGAAGUUAUUUUUUCUGUGCCCAUUCGGGAUUGUUAUCGAAUCAAUAAAAUUUUCAUGUUUUAUACAAUACCAAAAAGAGCUUGAGCAAUAAAUGUCUCUUUAAUGAAAAACAUAAACAAACAACUUUAAUUAUUCGCACUAACCAAUUACAUUUUUGUUCCUCCAAUUAUGUCAGUUUGUUAUAUUGACAAGCACGGUAUUUUGCGACAUGCCGCAAACCGUCAUGAAUAUUUUCACACUUACGUCUCGAUCUACAGUUCGACAUAAAGAACAUAGGAAAUGUGUGAAAUUCGACCACAGGGACUGAAAAACGAGGUCGACAUAGCGAAAAAGUCGAGAUAAAAAAUCGACACAAACAGAUUUAUUUUAUAUAGAAUAAGAAGGAAUAAAUUCGGGACCGGAAGAAAAAGUCGACACAACCGGAAAGUCGACAUAUCCGACGUCGACAUAGCAAGUCUGGACUGUAUUUUGCACAUAGUGUACAUAUCAACAUACAGUACUAAAGGAAAAAAGCUAAAUCACAAUUCCACGCACGCACGCACUCACGCACGCACACACACACACGCGCGCACGCACGCACACACACAUACAUGCAUGGACACACACACACACACACACACACACGCACACACAAACAUACAUGCAUGGAUACAUAAACGUUUGUACUUACGAACGAUAUCCCCAUAUACUAGCUAAUGUUUUCAAAUUUUGAAUAUAUAAAUCAAGUCCUACGAUUGAUGUUAUUUAAGAACAUUUUGAGAGUUUUUGACAUGGCUAUGUGUGUCUUUAAUAGUUAAUUAAUGUUUGUCUUUCCCAUUUUUUAUUUUAGGUUUCAUAUUUAUUGUCGUUCAACGCUGUUUGUUCUUCUAUUUUAAAUCUUUGUUUCAAAUACAUCAAAUAUGCAUCAAAGGAUAGUAGUUGGUUGAGUGUGUAUGUUAAAUUUGAUAAAAAUAUUAAGGAAGUUACAAACGUUAUUGUUUUGUUUAUUUCCUAUUCCCAGUAAGGCUUCACGUUUACCAAUCAAUACAUUAAUCUUUGUUGAUGCUAUUAAAACGUUUCAUUCAUUCCAUAGUGGCUGAGUAACAUUACACUCCCAGUAUAGAUGUUCAUAAGAUUACAUACAUGAACUACAGAAUGUACAUAAGAUACAAUCGACAAGUUUGAACUUAAAAAAGCAGUUGUUAUUAUUCUUAAAAGAAAUUCGUAAUAAAAACUACGUAAUGUAGUACCUAUUGUAGAUGUGUUUAUAUUACAGUAUAUAUUUUUUCAUUCAAAAUUUUAAUCUGUGUUGCCAGGGUUUCAGUCCACUUUAAUUCUAAGACUGGCGAUGUUGUUGUUGUUUGGAGCAAUAUUGCGUAUAUAAUAUUAUUUUAUUGCUGAUAUUGUACUAAGAGUCUGUGUGGUUUAUUCAACUUUUAAUCAAUUGUAUCUUCGUUUCCGUCGGAAUUAAUUUUAUGAGAGUUAGAUAUUUCAUGAACACGGUGCUCCAUAUGCCGUUUAAAUAUUCAAUUUGAUUUAAAUCAUAACAAAUUUUAGUUCUAUGAUCGAAAAUGUGUUCAAAGUAUUGUACACCUUUUCCAUACCA